CGAGUCGGCUGGGCGGUCGCGUCGGUGCCUCACGGCAUCGCCGAGGAACGUCCGGACUCCGCAGAGCAGGGUGGUUGUUAACGGCAACCCGGGGUGACCCGCGGGACAGUGCCACAGAGAACAGACCGCCUCCGGUGCCUGAAGCAUCGGCGGUAAGGGUGAAACGGUGAGGUAAGAGCUCACCAGCGCCCCGGGUGACCGGGGCGGCUAGGUAAACCCCACCCGGAGCAAGGCCAAGCAAGGUCGCGGCCGCGAGGUCGUGGCCGGCGCAGGGUUUGAGGGCUGCUCGCCCGAUCCUGCGGGUAGGCCGCAAGAGCCUGUCGGCAACGGCAGGCCGAGAUGGAUGGCCGCCACCGGCGACGCAAGUCACCGGCCACAGAAUCCGGCGUACAGGCCGACUCGUCCG
This 406-nucleotide RNase P RNA is filed under the name Actinoplanes awajinensis subsp. mycoplanecinus. Its description in RNAcentral is "Bacterial RNase P class A". It matches the Rfam family "Bacterial RNase P class A". Rfam says of the family: Ribonuclease P (RNase P) is a ubiquitous endoribonuclease, found in archaea, bacteria and eukarya as well as chloroplasts and mitochondria. Its best characterised activity is the generation of mature 5'-ends of tRNAs by cleaving the 5'-leader elements of precursor-tRNAs. Lineage: Bacteria; Bacillati; Actinomycetota; Actinomycetes; Micromonosporales; Micromonosporaceae. The record is from Rfam by way of RNAcentral.